CACGUAGGGGACGAGCGUUGUCCGGAUUCAUUGGGCGUAAAGCGCGCGUAGGCGGCUCGGAAAGUCGGUCGUGAAAUGCCGGGGCUCAACCCCGGGACUGCGUCCGAUACUUCCGGGCUGGAGGUAGGUAGGGGAGAUCGGAAUUCCUGGUGUAGCGGUGAAAUGCGCAGAUAUCAGGAGGAGCACCGGUGGCGAAGGCGGCACUCUGGGCCGGUACUGACGCUGAGGAGCGAAAGCGUGGGGAGCGAACAGG
This 253-nucleotide ribosomal RNA is filed under the name uncultured bacterium. RNAcentral's name for it is "partial 16S ribosomal RNA". It matches the Rfam family "Bacterial small subunit ribosomal RNA", at positions 524 to 776 of the family's 1533-position model. The record is from RNAcentral.